AAUCACAAUUUGCAAUUGUUUUGUGGUUUAUGUGUUUAUUGUCUGUGUCAUUCCAUAAGGUAUCCGCUGCAUGAGAUCUGAGAUGCCAGACUAAGGAGGAGACUAUUCUCUACGAUUCCUCACUUGUCAAGAGGUCCCGUCCAGAGAAAUUCAAAAAGGACAGGAUCAUUGUCAUCCAAAAAGAAGAAGGGCUCAAGGAUGCCAAAAUUUGUGGGCUAAAAGAAUCUCAUGGUCACAAGCAGCGAUGGCUAAUAUAAAGGAUCCCUCCUUCCAGCCCUUUCUUUAGUGACUUCACCC
This 297-nucleotide long non-coding RNA is filed under the name Mustela putorius furo (domestic ferret). RNAcentral describes it as "lncRNA (ENSMPUG00000030588.1)". The record is from RNAcentral. Lineage: Eukaryota; Metazoa; Chordata; Mammalia; Carnivora; Mustelidae.